GGAAGAGGCAUCUUCUUCGUUGUUGUGAGAACAGUUAUAAUUUAAAUUAGUUUUGCCACACCGCACAAACACUCAGCAGCAAGGAUGGCUCAUUGUUCAAGUGUUUUGGUUCUCCUUCUGGUUUUGAUGAAAUAUCAAAGCACGUUUGCGUUGAAAUGUUACAAAGGGUUCGAACCCUCGUUAAACGCAACGCAAAAUUACGGACUCGAAGAGGAGUGCAAAGAGAAUCCGAUUCUGGCCAAGCGAGGAGUGAGGCUAGCUUGUUACACGAGGAUCAUUACUGAGUCAGGAGACAACAAAAUCAUGCGAGGCUGCGCGAAUGACAUCCAAAUAUGCCAAACGGACGUUAUCUGCUGGUUCUGCGAAAGUCACUUGUGCAACACAAUAGGCAGGAGCUCCACAUUAAACUUAACUAAAUCGUAUCUCCUAUUAGCCAUUUUCCUAUCCUUUAUUACA
This is a long non-coding RNA of Culicoides brevitarsis, 456 nucleotides long. RefSeq lists it as uncharacterized. The record is from RefSeq and is a predicted model, not a curated record. NCBI's taxonomy places the organism in Eukaryota, Metazoa, Arthropoda, Insecta, Diptera, Ceratopogonidae. The transcript has 3 exons.